UAUCUUGGAUUAGUAUGAAACAUUUUACAUUACAUUUACAUUUCUUGAAACAUACCUGCCUAAACCAAAAUUGUGUAUAAAUAACCCAAGUUUGUAGCCUGCCUUCCGCUUUGGGAUGACUCCCAUUUUUAGGGAGGAGACAUGAGCAUCUCAUUAUAUACGUAUCUCUGGCUAACGUUAGCGAUCUUGUGCAUACCGCGCUUAAGGCUAGUUUAGAUAUAUGUAUUCAUAUUGUUUUUGCAAACGUUCUAAACAAGCAGGCCAUACAAGUGAAAUAAUGUUCAGCAACUUAACUACUACUAUAGUCCUCACCCGGGUAUUUACGAAAGUAUCAAAAGUACCAAAUGUGUCUGACACAUGGUUAUCUGAAACACAAAAGUUCUAGCUUGCAAAAUAUGUCUCACAGGCAAUGCAGCUCCGAGGUAGACUACAAUUAAGACUAUCAUCUAGGAUGCAACAGCGCGUCUUUAUCGAAUUCUUAGGUGCAUAUUGAAGGUGUUAAAAGUAUGGAAGGCCAAGAGUUUCAAAUUGUCCUAUGGGCAUUUUUACACCUGUUCAGUGUGCAUUUACAGGUGAUUAGAAUGUUUGAAUAUUGUACUUCCAGACUCAUGAAAUUCUGCCAUUGCACACUUUCUGAGCGCCUGUGUAGUAACGGGUACAUUUCAUACGUCUGAAAUUACCACAUUGUAGCCUGUCCCACCUCAAUUUCAGUGAGUUUGACUUUGUUUGACUUCUGGCCUGUUGCGACGAAUCGCUUACUCAGGGAUGGAGGAGAUGUUUCUAAAUAUAGAUCAAAUUGUUAAAAAUAGUCAAGGCAUUGGUGAGAAUUGGAGGAAGAAAUUAAAACAUAUUUUUCCAAAUAGCAUUACAACUACAAAGCUGACGCUGGCUAGCUAGCUUAUUUUCAUUGAAAUAGCAUGGCUAGUUAGCUAACUAGCGAUAUUCUUCUGUCUAGCCUGUAACUAAUGGUUGUUACGUUGUGGGACAGAGCAAUAGUUCUUUGUACUUGUCAUUUGGCUCAGACUAACAUUAGUUUAGAAAAUAAUUGUUAACUUUGUGUAAAUUUGUUGUAUAAUUGGUUGGCUUUGCUAAGUAUCAAGAUGAGAUUUAUUUGCUCAAGUUAGCUAACUUAGCUAUUAGCUAAUGUUUUAGGAGAACAUGCUAGCUCCCUGCAGAAUCUAGACAAUAGAGAAUGGGGAAUAAGAUCUCGCUGUUGCAGUGCUCAGACAAGGUGAGAGGACUGCUACAGAUAUAAAAAGCCACAACAUGAUGAUCAUGUAGUCAAACAUCUGAAGUCUAGCGAGGAGGAGAAAAGCCUGCUUUGGAUCAGCUGUCACGUUCGUUAUAUGAAUCGGACCAAGGAAUCUCCGAAUGCUAUGUUGAAUGAGCACCAUGGAUGAAGGAGGCGGAGGAAAACAGACAGCUUCUUUCUACCACAUCUUCACCAUGUCAUACAAUGUUUGCUUCAUGAACAAUUCUUACAUCUCAAAUAAAUACAGAAUCAUUUUAGUUUAUUCUGUUCCUAAUGCUGGAUGUGAGUAAUUUAGCAGGUCUAUAAUAUGUAUUGUUUUGAAACGUUUAUUUAAUAUCUAUUCAGUCAACUCAUUUAUUUUAUGUUUUCUAAAAUAAUGUAUGUUUUGUGUACUGUUACUUUUUACAUGCUGAAACAGUCUCAUUAGUUUUGAGCUAGGCUAUGAUCGGGAAAAUGUCUACUGUAAAUGUUUAUUUCCCUUAAUGAGAACUUGGACAAUGUCAGGGAAUAAGUAGGAUAAAUGGACAUCCUAUCAAUGACAAAAUAAACUGCAGAGGUAGCCUUAAAAGAAAAAAUUAGAUCUGUGCAUGUUAUUACUGGACAGACGACUAGCCAGAGCAGUGAACACAUUUUCACAUGGAUGUAUAUACAAAAUGCAACAUGUAAAGUGUUGGUCUCAUGCACUGAAAUAAAAGAUUCCAGACAUUUUCCAUAGGCACAAGAGGCUUAUUUAUCUCAAAUGUUGUGCACCCUGGUCCUUCCUCCGCUGCCUCCAUAACAGUUUAUAAAUUAUUUUUUAGAAAACAUUUUAAUUCAGCCUUUGUGGUUUGAAUAGUAUAGUGACUAUUAUUGCUUUAAUUUUCCAAACAAAUUGGGUUUUGGAAAAGUAGGUACUUUUUGCAAAACCAUCCCAUCUGGUGGAUAUA
Oncorhynchus gorbuscha (pink salmon) is the source of this 2178-nucleotide long non-coding RNA. RefSeq lists it as uncharacterized. The transcript has 3 exons. The record is from RefSeq and is a predicted model, not a curated record. Lineage: Eukaryota; Metazoa; Chordata; Actinopteri; Salmoniformes; Salmonidae.